GACGAACGCUGGCCUGCGUGCCUAAUACAUGCAAGUUGAGCGCUGAAGGUUGGUACUUGUACCAACUGGAUGAGCAGCGAACGGGUGAGUAACGCGUGGGGAAUCUGCCUUUGAGCGGGGGACAACAUUUGGAAACGAAUGCUAAUACCGCAUAAAAACUUUAAACACAAGUUUUAAGUUUGAAAGAUGCAAUUGCAUCACUCAAAGAUGAUCCCGCGUUGUAUUAGCUAGUUGGUGAGGUAAAGGCUCACCAAGGCGAUGAUACAUAGCCGACCUGAGAGGGUGAUCGGCCACAUUGGGACUGAGACACGGCCCAAACUCCUACGGGAGGCAGCAGUAGGGAAUCUUCGGCAAUGGACGAAAGUCUGACCGAGCAACGCCGCGUGAGUGAAGAAGGUUUUCGGAUCGUAAAACUCUGUUGGUAGAGAAGAACGUUGGUGAGAG
RNAcentral lists this ribosomal RNA (444 nucleotides) under Lactococcus lactis. RNAcentral describes it as "bacterial SSU rRNA". It matches the Rfam family "Bacterial small subunit ribosomal RNA", at positions 28 to 461 of the family's 1533-position model. Lineage: Bacteria; Bacillati; Bacillota; Bacilli; Lactobacillales; Streptococcaceae. The record is from RNAcentral.